UACGAAGGGGGCUAGCGUUGUUCGGAUUUACGUGGCGUAAAGCGCACGUAGGCGGAUCGUUAAGUCGGGGGUGAAAUCCUGGAGCUCAACUCCAGAACUGCCUUCGAUACUGGAGAGCUUGAGUCCGGGAGAGGUGAGUGGAACUGCGAGUGUAGAGGUGAAAUUCGUAGAUAUUCGCAAGAACACCAGUGGCGAAGGCGGCUCACUGGCCCGGUACUGACGCUGAGGUGCGAAAGCGUGGGGAGCAAACAGG
RNAcentral lists this ribosomal RNA (253 nucleotides) under uncultured bacterium. RNAcentral's name for it is "partial 16S ribosomal RNA". It matches the Rfam family "Bacterial small subunit ribosomal RNA", at positions 524 to 776 of the family's 1533-position model. The record is from RNAcentral.